GACGAAGGUGGCGACCGUUGUUCGGAAUCACUGGGCAUAAAGAGCACGUAGGCGGCAAGGUAUGUCGGGUGUGAAAUCCCUCGGCCUAACCGAGGAAUUGCGCCCGAAACUACCUUGCUUGAGGAUGGAAGGGGCAACUGGAAUUCUCGGUGUAGCGGUGAAAUGCGUAGAUAUCGAGAGGAACACCUGCGGCGAAGGCGGGUUGCUGGGCUGAUACUGACGCUGAGGCGCGAAAGCCAGGGGAGCGAACGGG
This 253-nucleotide ribosomal RNA is filed under the name uncultured bacterium. RNAcentral's name for it is "partial 16S ribosomal RNA". It matches the Rfam family "Bacterial small subunit ribosomal RNA", at positions 524 to 776 of the family's 1533-position model. The record is from RNAcentral.